UACGGAGGAUGCGAGCGUUAUCCGGAUUUAUUGGGUUUAAAGGGUGCGUAGGCGGCCGAGUAAGUCAGCGGUGAAAUUUUGCAGCUUAACUGUAACAGUGCCGUUGAUACUGCAUGGCUAGGAUUUGGUUGCUGUGGGUGGAAUGUGUGGUGUAGCGGUGAAAUGCUUAGAUAUCACACAGAAUAUCGAUUGCGAAGGCAGCUCACAAAGCCAAGAUUGACGCUGAGGCGCGAAAGUGUGGGGAGCAAA
RNAcentral lists this ribosomal RNA (249 nucleotides) under uncultured prokaryote. RNAcentral describes it as "partial 16S ribosomal RNA". It matches the Rfam family "Bacterial small subunit ribosomal RNA", at positions 524 to 772 of the family's 1533-position model. The record is from RNAcentral.